RNAcentral lists this ribosomal RNA (465 nucleotides) under uncultured Klebsiella sp. RNAcentral describes it as "bacterial SSU rRNA". It matches the Rfam family "Bacterial small subunit ribosomal RNA", at positions 338 to 795 of the family's 1533-position model. The record is from RNAcentral. Lineage: Bacteria; Pseudomonadati; Pseudomonadota; Gammaproteobacteria; Enterobacterales; Enterobacteriaceae.
CCUACGGGUGGCAGCAGUGGGGAAUAUUGCACAAUGGGCGCAAGCCUGAUGCAGCCAUGCCGCGUGUGUGAAGAAGGCCUUCGGGUUGUAAAGCACUUUCAGCGGGGAGGAAGGCGGUGAGGUUAAUAACCUCAUCGAUUGACGUUACCCGCAGAAGAAGCACCGGCUAACUCCGUGCCAGCAGCCGCGGUAAUACGGAGGGUGCAAGCGUUAAUCGGAAUUACUGGGCGUAAAGCGCACGCAGGCGGUCUGUCAAGUCGGAUGUGAAAUCCCCGGGCUCAACCUGGGAACUGCAUUCGAAACUGGCAGGCUAGAGUCUUGUAAAGGGGGGUAGAAUUCCAGGUGUAGCGGUGAAAUGCGUAGAGAUCUGGAGGAAUACCGGUGGCGAAGGCGGCCCCCUGGACAAAGACUGACGCUCAGGUGCGAAAGCGUGGGGAGCAAACAGGAUUAGAUACCCCAGUAGUC